RNAcentral lists this ribosomal RNA (460 nucleotides) under uncultured bacterium. RNAcentral's name for it is "partial 16S ribosomal RNA". It matches the Rfam family "Bacterial small subunit ribosomal RNA", at positions 338 to 795 of the family's 1533-position model. The record is from RNAcentral.
CCUACGGGUGGCUGCAGUGAGGAAUAUUGGUCAAUGGACGAGAGUCUGAACCAGCAAAGUAGCGUGAAGGAUGACUGCCCUAUGGGUUGUAAACUUCUUUUAUAAAGGAAUACAACGAGGCACGUGUGCCUUUUUGCAUGUACUUUAUGAAUAAGGAUCGGCUAACGCCGUUCCAGCAGCCGCGGUAAUACGGAGGAUCCGAGCGUUAUCAGGUUUUAUUGGGUGUAAAGGGAGCGUAGAUGGGUUGUUGAGUCAGUUGUGAAAGUUUGCGGCUCAACCGUACAAUUGCAAUUGAUACUGGCAGUCUUGAGUACAGUUGAGGUAGGCGGAAUUCGUGGUGUAGCGGUGAAAUGCUUAGAUAUCACGAAGAACCACGAUUGCGGAGGCAGCUUACUAAACUGUGACUGACAUUGAUGCUCGAAAGUGUGGGGAGCAAAUAGGAUUAGAUACCCCAGUAGUC